GCCUUUCAUUCAUAAAUCAGAUAAAGAUUUGCGGUUUUUAACCGACUAAAGCAGCUUCCAAUGUCUUCCAUUUUUAAUUUUUUGUUUACAAUUACAGUGAUAGUAUGAUUCACUUAAAAGGAGAGCAUGAAUAGCCGGUACAUAAGCCAUUAGCGCUAUCGUAGGGAAACAAAGAAACAGGUCUACUUGGUGGCAACUCAGGAGUUGCCAUUUCCAAGCUCAAGAAACCCACCACUUCCUCCAUAGAAGGCCUACCUUUACUCUCAUUUAGUGUACAAAGCAAUCCAAUCUCCAAUACUCUUAUUGCCUGUUCCAAGUUCACCACCGAGCCCAUCCUUCUAUCCACUAUUCUCGAUUUCUCAUCUGUCUCGUGCAUUCUCCAUGCAAAAUCUACCAAGUCCUUCUCUUCUUGGCUCACUUCACUGUCCAACCUACCUCUCCCUGACACCACUUCCAGCACAAAAAUGCCGAACUCAAACACAUCAGCCUUUUGACUCACCGCUGCUUCGAAACGCCUUGACUCCGUGUGGGAAAGCACGAAACCGAAGUCGCCCAAAGCUGCCCUGAAGCUAACAUCAAGAAAGACACUACUGGCUUUCAUGUUCUUAUGAGCAAGGUGCCUAGAGUGGAGGAAACUGAGAGCAUCAGCGACGUCUUUCACCACCUUAAACCGCCGAGUCCAGGGAAGCACGCCAACUCCGAACAACCACUUAUCUAAGCUUCCAUUUGGAUAGAAUUCGUACAAAACCAUAGUUUCUCGAUUGUCCUGACACCAUCCUCUAAUGGGAACCAAAUUGGGGUGACGAACUCGGCUCAUGGCACUGAUUUCUUUGAGUAAUCUUCGCCUAUCUAAUCCCAGCUGUGAGUUCAAAAAUUGAGCCGAGAAACGUUUGACGGCCACUUGGCAACCAUUUGAAAGCUUCCCUCUGUAGUAAAUACUUCUGGAGUCGCUACCCAGUAUUUCCAACUCAUGGAAGCACCGAGUGGCUGUGGAAACUUCAGGAAAGGUGAAGCGGCUGGGUUUAUUGGGAGGCCUCGGCCUUUGCUUUUUGUCUGGAAGAGCCACGGUCUGGGACUGAUCAUUUCUGCGCCUGCCAAAGAAAAGAUCUCGCACGUUUCCACAGAUGGCAUAAGAAGCGAGGCUUGGCUGGUGGAGGUGAAGUUCCACGAGAAUAUACUGUGGAUUUGGGUCAAAUUCCCUGUGGAAGCCGAGAAUCCUAUAAACAUGUAUUCAUUGAGAAAGGGAGAGAGAUCAAGAGAACCCGAGAAGAUUGGUUUGGAUCCCAGGUGUAUAUCCAUCCAGCGGCGAGGACCAUCAUAUGCAAUCCAAGCUUGGUGAACCGAGCCAUCCUUGAGGGAGAUACCAACAUCAGAAGCAUUAACAGUCGAUGUAGAAAUGAUGCUGCCAAGAUUGAUUCCAACAUGGUUGUCAUUUGGGUCUCCAAAUUCUGGAUUCUGACGGUUGUCAAAUUCAAUAGCUACUGCUUUGUAGUUGUCCUCACAAGCAUCAUUAAGCAUAGCUAGCCAAGGUCCAGGCCUACCCACAGUGAAUUCAUCAGGGACUAUAAUGAAGGCAAGGCCACUGCCUCCGCCAGUGGAAGAAACAUUGGAGGAGUUGACAUGAGUAGUAAUGGAGUUACUAAACCGAAAAGAAAAUGAGGUCUCGAAGGAAGCAGGAGUUCUAGUGAAUGGAUCAAGAAGACGGAUUGGAAAAGAGUAGAUGGCUCGGCCAGCUUGAUGUCUUAGAUCAGUAACUUGGGAUUCAUCUGGAAUUUGGAUGGCACCGUUUUCAUCUGACAACUUGGCACUGCCUAGAAGCUUAAUCUCAUUUAUAAUUCCAGGUUCAUACAACCUGAAAUAUGGGAAGGAGAGAUGCUUGGUCACGUUAAUUAAAGGCCCAAUCUGCCUCCUCGCACCAGCUGAUGAUGCUUCAACUAAAGAUGGGCAUAAUUCUAUAAUCGCUACCAGGUAAGCUAAUGACCAAAACAAAGAGAAGCAGCAAUAGUAGAACCCCAUUAAACGUAACCCAAAGAAGAAAAAUAGUUGAAGAACAGAAAUCGCCUAGUGCGAUUUUCUAGCUAAGCUAAUGUGGAUAAGAAUUGAACAAAAUUCAAAUACAAGGUCGUUCAAUAAUGAAAUCUUCUCAUCUUCUGAUAAUGGAGGAGACCAACACGUACCUGAAUAAUCGCUCUCCACUCCUCUAAAGCACUUAUGCAAUUAUUGUAUGUAGUUUGUCCGUAUUUGAAACAAACCCA
This 2255-nucleotide unclassified non-coding RNA is filed under the name Hevea brasiliensis (rubber tree). Lineage: Eukaryota; Viridiplantae; Streptophyta; Magnoliopsida; Malpighiales; Euphorbiaceae. The record is from RNAcentral.